AGUGAACGCUGGCGGUAGGCCUAACACAUGCAAGUCGAGCGGCCGCACAGUAAGAGCUUGCUCUUACGGGUGGCGAGUGGCGGACGGGUGAGGAAUACAUCGGAAUCUACUUUUUCGUGGGGGAUAUCGUAGGGCCACUUCCGCUAAUACCGCAUACGACCUACGGGUGAAAGCAGGGGAUCUUGGGACCUUGCCCGUUUGAAUGAGCCGACGUCGGAUUAGCUAGUUGGCGGGGUAAAGGCCCACCAAGGCGACGAUGCGUAGCCGGUCUGAGAGGGUGAUCGGCCACACUGGAACUGAGACACGGUCCAGACUCCUACGGGAGGCAGCAGUAGGGAAUCUUGCACAAUGGGCGCAAGCCUGACGGAGCCACGCCGCGUGAGUGAUGAAGGUCUUCGGAUCGUAAAGCUCUGUUAUUAGGGAAGAAAAUAUGUGUAAGUAACUGUGCACGUCUUGACGGUACCUAAUCAGAAAGCCACGGCUAACUACGUG
This 492-nucleotide ribosomal RNA is filed under the name uncultured bacterium. RNAcentral describes it as "partial 16S ribosomal RNA". It matches the Rfam family "Bacterial small subunit ribosomal RNA", at positions 29 to 507 of the family's 1533-position model. The record is from RNAcentral.